CCCCUGAUCAUGGAUGUCCAUGAGGAGGCCUCUGAACUCUAGGGGACCCCUGGAUUCUGAAAAUGGCCUUAUAUAAGAUAAAUAUCUGACAACUGAAACCUUCAGAAUGUCAACUGUUUUUGUCUUGAGACAUAAGUCUCCAGAGCUCAAUUCUAGGAUGUUUCCAGUCUUCCAGAUAGCAUGAUACUCAUACACACAUGUGAACAGGAGGUGAACUACAUCAUUCCUCUAUUUUAUGGAUUUUCUUCUUUCUAAUGUGCCUUCUUCCCUCACCAGUUAUAGCCUACAGUGUUUAUGAAAGAAAUUUGCUGGCUUCCAUGAACCAUCCAGCAAUAUUGAAAUAGUAAACACAAGGAAUACAUUCAUAAAUGUACAUAUAAAUUAAUCAAGUAGAGGAGGCCAAAUAUUUACUGAGAAAAAUGUAAAAAAAAAACCACAUAAAAUAAAGAUGUCCACUCUCUGAACACAAUCACUAUUAUAUUAUUAACAUAUAAAAAUUUUACCAAAUAUUGGUAUUCCUUAGUUUGUUGUUCUUAUAAAUAUUAUUUAUAGAAGCUAUCCAU
RNAcentral lists this long non-coding RNA (563 nucleotides) under Cricetulus griseus (Chinese hamster). RNAcentral's name for it is "lncRNA (ENSCGRG00015028991.1)". Lineage: Eukaryota; Metazoa; Chordata; Mammalia; Rodentia; Cricetidae. The record is from RNAcentral.